Molecule: long non-coding RNA, 1599 nt
Organism: Carya illinoinensis
Lineage: Eukaryota; Viridiplantae; Streptophyta; Magnoliopsida; Fagales; Juglandaceae
Exons: 2
Source: RefSeq, a predicted model, not a curated record
UUUCUUUCUACUACUGAUUCCAAGUUCCCGUUCCCUCUCUCAAAAUCAAUUCAUUUUAAAUUUCACCCAUCCCUUUCCCCCUCCUCGCAUCGCUCUCCCCCACCCCCAUACCCUGCGCUUCCCCUCCCUGCGUAGCCUACCUCCCAAACCCCAACCCUAAGUCACCUAACCCAUCCUCUUCCCCACCCCCACCCCCACCCCCACGUCACCCAUCCUUUGCCCUAGUUGCCCCGUCGCCGUCAACCCUCCCUCUGCCUUAUUUGGUUUAACCGGUUGGAAAAUUCUUACUCAAAACCUGCACCCUUAUCCUUUGCUGAAGAGAUGUGCGGUCAUCUGACAAGGUAUUUAAUCAUCUUCAUCUUCAUAAAAAUUGCUUUAAGCUGACUUGCUUUCAUUGUUACCACCAUUGUUAGAGAAUCACAUAUAAGUUAACCCUCCUAGUUGCCCCUAUCUCACCCAUCCUCUAUCCCGGUUGCCCCUGUUACUAAUAGUGUCUCUGUCUAGUGAUAGAUAGAUAAUGAAGACUGGUGUUUAAUAUGAAGAGUUUGCCCUAUAGAGGUUAGUUGAGAAUCGGUUUGGUCAUACUAGAGCAAGCAUGGCUUAUGUGUUAAUCACUUAUGCCAUUUGGUUCAUGUCAAUCACUUGGUUGUUUGCACCAUUUCUUUUUAAUCCUUUUGGUUUCAGUUGGGGCAAGAUAGUAGAUGACUAGAAAGAUUGGAACAAGUGGAUCAAGCAGCAGGGUGGCAUAAGAGUUCAACAGGAUAAAAGUUGGUAAUCAUGGUGGGAUGAUGAACUUGCUCAUCUUCGUCGCUCAGGGUUGAGUUCUAGGUUGAUUGAAAUACUUCCCUAUCUUAGGUUUUUCAUUUAUCAGUACGGUCUGGUAUGUCACCUUAACAUCUCCCAACAGAGCAAAAACUUUCUGGUUUAUGUGCUUUCAUGGGUUGUGAUUCUUGCAGUUUUCCUAUUAGUCAAGGUAUGUUCUUCUUAUAACAUUCAACUGGAGUUGUAUGCUUUAUUUAAUCUACUUGCAUAAUAUGCAAAUAUUUACAUGAAAUAUGACAAGUUUAUAGGCUCAAACAUAGUUAAAUUAUUUGGUUGGAAUAUUCUUUUGACUUGAGAGAUACUGCAGCAGUUCAGACACAGACUGGCCAAAGUAUGAUAUGAGAGAUGGAAGGUGUGAAUUUUUCAUUUGGACGGAUAUAUUUCAUUCGUUAGAUGAGAACAUUUGUAUAAGAGAUAAUAAAGUUUGGAAGAUGUGAGAUGACAUACUGCUGUGCAAGUAUGGCUCGGAAAAUGGUAGAGAGAGAGAGAGAGAGAGAGAGAACUCUUCAAAAGGCAUCCCGUAUAUUAUUGUGUUUGUAUUGUAUUGGGUUAUCACAAUGAUAAUCAUUUCAGCUUGGUUUGGAUAAAUUAUAUGUAAAUUGACAUGUUCUAUGGAGUAGUGAGUUGCUAAAUGGCUCUAAUGUAAUUGUACUCCCUCUAUGUUUUGGACCUUUGGUUAUGAUGUACAAAAGGGGUUGCUAAAUGGAUCUAAUGUAAUUGUAUUCUCUCUAUGUUUUGGUUAUGAUGUACAAAAGGGGUACCUAUAGGUUCUUUGAA